CUGAACCAGCCAAGUAGCGUGAAGGAUGACUGCCCUAUGGGUUGUAAACUUCUUUUAUACGGGAAUAAAGUGGUCCACGUGUGGCUUUUUGUAUGUACCGUAUGAAUAAGGAUCGGCUAACUCCGUGCCAGCAGCCGCGGUAAUACGGAGGAUCCGAGCGUUAUCCGGAUUUAUUGGGUUUAAAGGGAGCGUAGGUGGACAGUUAAGUCAGUUGUGAAAGUUUGCGG
This 227-nucleotide ribosomal RNA is filed under the name uncultured Bacteroides sp. Its description in RNAcentral is "partial 16S ribosomal RNA". It matches the Rfam family "Bacterial small subunit ribosomal RNA", at positions 383 to 607 of the family's 1533-position model. Lineage: Bacteria; Pseudomonadati; Bacteroidota; Bacteroidia; Bacteroidales; Bacteroidaceae. The record is from RNAcentral.